Molecule: ribosomal RNA, 422 nt
Filed under: uncultured fungus
Lineage: Eukaryota; Fungi
Description: eukaryotic LSU rRNA
Rfam family: Eukaryotic large subunit ribosomal RNA
Source: RNAcentral
UUGACCUCAAAUCGAGUAGGACUACCCGCUGAACUUAAGCAUAUCAAUAAGCGGAGGAAAAGAAACUAACAAGGAUUCCCCUAGUAACGGCGAGUGAAGAGGGAAGAGCUCAAAUUUUAAAUCUGGCGUCUUUGGCGUCCGAAUUGUAAUCUAGAGAAGUGUUUUCCGUGACGGACCGUGCAUAAGUCUCCUGGAAUGGAGUGUCAUAGAGGGUGAGAAUCCCGUAUAUGGCACGGACUCCCGUUGCUCUGUGAUACACUCUCGACGAGUCGAGUUGUUUGGGAAUGCAGCUCUAAAUGGGUGGUAAAUGCCAUCUAAAGCUAAAUAUUGGCGAGAGACCGAUAGCGAACAAGUACCGUGAGGGAAAGAUGAAAAGCACUUUGGAAAGAGAGUGAAACAGUACGUGAAAUUGUUGAAAGGGA